This is a small nuclear RNA of Rattus norvegicus (Norway rat), 148 nucleotides long. Ensembl annotates it as U4 spliceosomal RNA. The record is from Ensembl. Lineage: Eukaryota; Metazoa; Chordata; Mammalia; Rodentia; Muridae.
AGCUUUGCACGGUGGCAGUAUCGUAGCCAAUGAGGUUUAUCCGAGGAGUGAUUAUUGCUAAUUGAAAACUUAAAGGUGUGUGGGGACUACACCAAACCCUGUAAUAACACAACUAAGUGGCAACAUAUUGUGAAAGGAAUGGAAAAUA